This 73-nucleotide transfer RNA is filed under the name Thermochaetoides thermophila DSM 1495. RNAcentral describes it as "tRNA-Ala (AGC) (tRNA-Ala-AGC-2-1)". It matches the Rfam family "tRNA". Rfam says of the family: Transfer RNA (tRNA) molecules are approximately 80 nucleotides in length. Their secondary structure includes four short double-helical elements and three loops (D, anti-codon, and T loops). Further hydrogen bonds mediate the characteristic L-shaped molecular structure. tRNAs have two regions of fundamental functional importance: the anti-codon, which is responsible for specific mRNA codon recognition, and the 3' end, to which the tRNAs corresponding amino acid is attached (by aminoacyl-tRNA synthetases). tRNAs cope with the degeneracy of the genetic code in two manners: having more than one tRNA (with a specific anti-codon) for a particular amino acid; and 'wobble' base-pairing, i.e. permitting non-standard base-pairing at the 3rd anti-codon position. The record is from RNAcentral. Lineage: Eukaryota; Fungi; Ascomycota; Sordariomycetes; Sordariales; Chaetomiaceae.
GAGCGUGUAGCUCAGUUGGUAGAGCGUUCGCUUAGCAUGCGAAAGGUCUUGGGUUCGAUUCCCAACUCGUCCA